Molecule: ribosomal RNA, 305 nt
Filed under: uncultured bacterium
Lineage: Bacteria
Description: bacterial SSU rRNA
Rfam family: Bacterial small subunit ribosomal RNA
Source: RNAcentral
CCUACGGGAGGCAGCAGUUAGGAAUAUUCGUCAAUGGGGGAAACCCUGAACGAGCAAUGCCGCGUGAAGGAUGAAGGUCCUAUGGAUUGUAAACUUCUGUUGUAAGGGAAGAACGACCUAAAUAGGAAAUGAUUUAGGAGUGACGGUACCUUUCGAGAAAGCUCCGGCUAACUACGUGCCAGCAGCCGCGGUAAUACGUAGGGAGCGAGCGUUAUCCGGAUUUAUUGGGUGUAAAGGGUGCGUAGGCGGUAAUACAGGUCUUUGGUAUAAGCCCGAAGCUUAACUUCGGUAAGCCAGAGAAACCG